Molecule: long non-coding RNA, 1241 nt
Organism: Cyprinus carpio carpio
Lineage: Eukaryota; Metazoa; Chordata; Actinopteri; Cypriniformes; Cyprinidae
Source: Ensembl
CUAGGCUGAGAGCGUGUAAGCUUGCUGAGGUCAUUAUCUGCUGAGCUCUUGGUGACACUGGUUUGCAGCUGGUAAGAGCAUCACUCUGGAACAUUUGUGAGAAAGAAGGACAAGGUCUUCAGGUUUCAAUGUGUACAUGUGGGAAGCUGAAGAGGUCAGAGAAAGUAAGGGGUGAAAUUGAGCACCAUUGUCAUGCAGAGGAUGUUGAAAACAUGGACAAUCUGAAUCCUGCUGCUCUGUUCCUGUACCAUGUGCAUCAGAGAACAGCUUGUGUGUUCAAUAGAGGGAUGUAAACAACAGCUGAACUCAAACCUUCUGCUGGAGUGUGUCGUCACACACAUUUGAGGGCUCCCAGUCCUGAUGCGAGACCUUCCCCGAAUGCACGUGUCCAGAACCCGACCAUGCGUAGCAAAUCAAACCCUCAUCUGGACUCAGGCACCACUGGGGCCAACAAUUGUUGUUGGGUCUUAUUUUGGUCACUGUGAGCUCCAUGCAGGAAGUAUGUAGUACAGGGCCAGAAAGAAGAUUGUACCUUGGCUCUAGUCCUGCAUGGAUUCAUCCUGUUUAUGCACAAAGACAAAUCUCACUGGCUCUAUUCCAACACCUAGCGAGCUGCCUUGCUGUCCACUGCCUACAUAUGCAACAUCCUGACUCAAAUGGAGCCUCAUAAGUGAAGGAUUUAGAACUGUGUAACACAACAGCCUUGACUCACUUGACUUGAUUUCAGUAGUUUUGCAUUUGCAUGUUGCUAUGUUAAAUCAUUUUUAAGACAACUAUUUUUUCCCCAACUUUUCAGUUUAAUUAUAGCUCAUACACGUAGUUGAAGCAUAGACUUUUAAAUACACUCAAUUUGAUAGCAUGCAUGAACAAAAGCGCUCAACUCAUGAGCACUAGAAAGUUUUAUAUUAGUUCAAUUUGCGCUAUUUCCCUCUAUAAGUAAUGAUCAAUUAAAAAUUCUUCAUACAUGUUUAAACUAAAGUCGUGAAUAUCUUUUAACUCCCUUACAUUAACGCUUGUUAACAUGUAUGUCUAUUGUUGUUGCGUCUCCUUACUGGACACUUAUAUUUUUGAAUGUUGUAUAAAGCGCGUAUUUAACUAUAUAUAAUGCUAUAGGGCGAUAUAAACAUAAAUACAAUAUUAUAUCUCUUACAAAAAUUAACCAUGUUUUUUGUAUUUUUAUAUAUUUUUGUUAUUAUUAUUAUUAUUAUUGUUAUUUUUUUUAUUUUUUAUUUUUAAAUUUU